Molecule: long non-coding RNA, 656 nt
Organism: Cucumis melo (muskmelon)
Lineage: Eukaryota; Viridiplantae; Streptophyta; Magnoliopsida; Cucurbitales; Cucurbitaceae
Exons: 3
Source: RefSeq, a predicted model, not a curated record
GGCUAUUACACUGAAAAGAGCUUAGGAGAAAGGUCAAAAUUGGAGUUGGAGCACCAAAUGUCAUUUCCCAGGCAGUUUUGAGCAGUAUUUCCUUUUCGGAAGCUACAAGAUGCACCUCUUGAAGUUUGGAGCUGAAAUUUGGAGGUAAGGAUCUUGUUGCCCUGAAUUGAGCUUAUUGCUGUCAUCCCAACCAGUCUCUUAAGAAGAAAUUACAUGUUAUUGUAGAUAAUUAGUAUUGAGAUGGGUGGAGGUUGUAUAGAAUUGUAUAGAAAUCUAGAUAGUCAAAACCCCUAUAAGUAAAAUUAUGUUUAAUUUAAUAUUGAAAUGAGUUGGGCUGCACUUGAAUAUCAUUAAGAUUUAUAAUAAGGUUUAUGUUUCUGCUGUAUUUUUAAAAGAUUAAAGAAGUAGGGUCGGCAUGUAUCAUCGGGGUAAGAGAUGGUAUCUGUUGACCUCACGCUGUCUCUCGAGUCAUAUAGUAGGUAAUACGGGAGGGGGGGAGUGACAACAUUUUUAUAAAUAAGUUGAUCUUUAUAAGCUUUAGGGUCAAAAAAACAUGCAAAGAAACAAUUUUUUACUUAGUGUAAAUUAUUUUAGCUUGAGUUGUAAUAGUGUAUGUUUGUGGUUUAUUUUUUAACAAUAAAUACAUAUUUUUCUUU